GAUGAACGCUGGCGGCGUGCUUAACACAUGCAAGUCGAGCGAAGCACUCUGCUUUGAUUCUUUCGGGAUGAAGAGCAUUGUGACUGAGCGGCGGACGGGUGAGUAACGCGUGGGUAACCUGCCUCAUACAGGGGGAUAACAGUUAGAAAUGGCUGCUAAUACCGCAUAAGACCACAGCACCGCAUGGUGCAGGGGUAAAAACUCCGGUGGUAUGAGAUGGACCCGCGUCUGAUUAGCUAGUUGGUGGGGUAACGGCCUACCAAGGCGACGAUCAGUAGCCGACCUGAGAGGGUGACCGGCCACAUUGGGACUGAGACACGGCCCAAACUCCUACGGGAGGCAGCAGUGGGGAAUAUUGCACAAUGGGGGAAACCCUGAUGCAGCGACGCCGCGUGAGCGAAGAAGUAUUUCGGUAUGUAAAGCUCUAUCAGCAGGGAAGAAAAUGACGGUA
This 451-nucleotide ribosomal RNA is filed under the name uncultured bacterium. RNAcentral describes it as "bacterial SSU rRNA". It matches the Rfam family "Bacterial small subunit ribosomal RNA", at positions 28 to 477 of the family's 1533-position model. The record is from RNAcentral.